Molecule: long non-coding RNA, 1282 nt
Organism: Apus apus (common swift)
Lineage: Eukaryota; Metazoa; Chordata; Aves; Apodiformes; Apodidae
Exons: 3
Source: RefSeq, a predicted model, not a curated record
UCCCCAUCCCCGGGGGUGGUACCCGGAGCCCCUGGAUGUCGGCACCGGAGCUGCGAUGGACGCCCCGCCGCCGAGGGAGAGCUGCUCCGCCCGCCCGCCCGCCCGAAGAGUCCCCGGGGCUUCUCCUCCUCUUGGGCCGACGCUCCGCUCACCCGCGGCCCGGAUGGGUAGGUUGCCUCGGCGGCCACGGCUGGAGCGAAGCAGCGUCGUUGCCUGAAUGCCCGAAAGAUGCCGGUGUGCACACCCGACAGGCAAACGCCUGUGUCAGAACCGUAGGCAGAACAGGCAGCAGGGCUGCGACAUUCCAUGGAUCUCCUCUCCCUCUGCCUUGGGCUUCCAGCGAGGUGAUGAACUUCCUGCCUUGCUGCUUUCCUUCGUCCCCACACCGAGAGCAACGCUUCAUGGCGCAGUCGUGCCGGGCAGAUUUUUUUUUUAAGAUCAUUCCUGUGCAACGUGGAGUAUUAGUUAUUGCAGGAGAAGCUGCAAAUAACUUGCUACGGAGGCCCUGGUGAAAAAUAAAAAUAGUGCUUCCCUGAAACAAAACCACCGAGGGAUCAGAAAUCUGAGGACUCCUUGGAUGAAUGGGAAGUAAGUGCUGGGAGUAUUCGGUGAUGUCGUGGGAGGAAGGCAAAAGCCACCCAGGCCCUGUUCCCUCCAUCUUGAGGCUCCCGUGGUGGUUUGCAGCAGCACAGGGAAGUAUGAAGCACUGAGGGAGUGAAGUCAGUGUUUCAACCUGACUUCACUUCAGCGCAGAACACCCCGCAAGGUUCAGAUCAAGGGAGGACCAGGGGUAAGAAUAGCAGAAGUACUUGAGGUGCCUCUUUUUUAAAAAUCCUCUUUUGGGUAUUUAAAGAUUAAGGAGCUAUUUAGAAAAGAUGACUCCCCACAUAUGUUCAUGUGUCUUAAUAAAAGAUAAUGGUCUGCAUUAUCUUCUGUGAUAGAUGCAUCUUGGGUGAAUCUGUAUCACCUUUCUGAUUUUGGGGGAACUGUAUUGAUUGAAGUUAGUUAAGGAACUAACCCAGCUGAGUUUUAAAUAACUGGAAUAAUAUUCUCCCUCUCUUUCAGUCAGGUUUGCCCUUCAUGUUACUUGUGUUUCAUAACCCUCCUAGCUCUCCGUUUCAUCAUUACAAGAGCAGCAUCUCUAUUGUAAAAAAAACCAGACAACUGAAUAAAAAACCCUACAAACCCCAAAAAAAAGAGAAGGAAAAAAAUCUCUUUAAACAGAGUCUUUUUGCAAUUUGAUCUUUAUUUUCAUUUUAAAUAAAUUCAGAGUGCAAGCUCA